RNAcentral lists this ribosomal RNA (260 nucleotides) under Staphylococcus marylandisciuri. RNAcentral's name for it is "partial 23S ribosomal RNA". It matches the Rfam family "Bacterial large subunit ribosomal RNA", at positions 2105 to 2364 of the family's 2925-position model. The record is from RNAcentral. Lineage: Bacteria; Bacillati; Bacillota; Bacilli; Caryophanales; Staphylococcaceae.
UGUAGCCUGAUAUUGAAAUUCGGCACAGCUUGUACAGGAUAGGUAGGAGCCUUAGAUACGUGAGCGCUAGCUUACGUGGAGGCGUUGGUGGGAUACUACCCUCGCUGUGUUGGAUUUCUAACCCGCAUCACUAAUCGUGGUGGGAGACAGUGUCAGGUGGGCAGUUUGACUGGGGCGGUCGCCUCCCAAAAGGUAACGGAGGCGCUCAAAGGUUCCCUCAGAAUGGUUGGAAAUCAUUCAUAGAGUGUAAAGGUAUAAGG